Long non-coding RNA from Armigeres subalbatus, 745 nucleotides. RefSeq lists it as uncharacterized. NCBI's taxonomy places the organism in Eukaryota, Metazoa, Arthropoda, Insecta, Diptera, Culicidae. The record is from RefSeq and is a predicted model, not a curated record. The transcript has 3 exons.
CUACGUACAUAUUUACUUCUACUACCCGGGAUUAGACUGUCUGUCGACUUCUGGCAGGUACCUAAGCUUUUAAAUCGGCGGCGGAGAAAACGCCCAAUGAUUUCCCCUGUGAAUCUCCUACCUCAUACGAACUGGUGCCAAUUUUGCGCAGGAUGACGCAAGGCGAGUAUUGCGGUCCGAGCUUGGCAUUAAACUGAUUGCCUGCCGACGAUUGGCGGAAGCUCCGCUUGAAGACUCGUUGACCCAUGUCAAACGUCGGAAUGGUAGUCACGUUUGCAGCUAACAUUGCUGUUCUACAAUCGAUCCUGGUGUUUCGGAACAAGACGUCAAAUUUCCUGUCAUCAUCCCACUGUCUGGACAUACUACGAAAGAUUCGAACCAUAUCUAGAUAGUAGUCCUGAAAUUUCUCCCGCGGACCUUGUCUUCGCGCAUUGGCUAAGCGUUCGUAUUGGUAAUCGAUAUCAACAGGUAGGAACUCACUCUUCAAUUCUUUAACUAGACUAGUCCAUGUUCACAAUUCGUUAUUACCGUUGACCUCCAUAAACCACGACCUAGCUUUACGCGUAAAAAGAUGAUGCGCAGAAACAAACAGUUCCGCAUCCGAGAAACCUUCCGACCGCGCGUUAAAUUCCACUUCUUUUAGGAAUUCGUUAAGUAUUACGAGUAUUACCUGCAUUUACAACAUUUAUUCCACGAAAUACACUACACUAAACACGGAUUUCUCGGUAACACUCUCGACAUAACC